UUAAUGUUAAUAAGGUUUAGUUUAAUUUUAGAAUUGUCGACUGUUAAUCGGAAGGUUUUUUACCUUAG
This 68-nucleotide transfer RNA is filed under the name Anisakis simplex (herring worm). RNAcentral's name for it is "tRNA-Asn". The record is from RNAcentral. Lineage: Eukaryota; Metazoa; Nematoda; Chromadorea; Rhabditida; Anisakidae.